Molecule: RNA transcript, 1298 nt
Organism: Peromyscus eremicus (cactus mouse)
Lineage: Eukaryota; Metazoa; Chordata; Mammalia; Rodentia; Cricetidae
Gene: Dph6
Gene name: diphthamine biosynthesis 6
Exons: 10
Source: RefSeq, a predicted model, not a curated record
GCGCGCGUCAGUCGAUCGGCCACGGGGCCGGGGGCCUGCCGUCUGCGCCUGCCGCACGCACGCGCAGUGCACCCAGCAUGAGGGUCGCGGCCCUGAUCAGUGGUGGGAAGGACAGCUGUUACAACAUGAUGCAGUGUAUUGCUGCAGGGCAUCAUAUUGUUGCUUUAGCAAAUCUGAGACCAGAUGAAAACCAAGUGGAGUCAGAAGAACUUGAUAGCUACAUGUAUCAGACAGUGGGUCACCAUGGCAUUGAUCUGUAUGCAGAAGCAAUGGCUCUUCCCUUGUACCGCAGAACCAUAAGAGGAAGGAGCUUGGAGACAGGAAAAAUGUAUACCACAUGUGAAGGUGAUGAAGUUGAAGAUCUCUAUGAACUCUUGAAACUUGUUAAGGAAAAAGAAGAAAUAGAAGGGGUAUCAGUAGGUGCUAUACUUUCUGAUUAUCAACGUGUGCGAGUAGAAAAUGUAUGUAAACGGCUUAAUCUCCAGCCUUUAACUUACCUUUGGCAGAGAAACCAGGAAGACUUGCUCCGAGAGAUGAUAGCAUCUAAUAUUGAAGCCAUUAUCAUCAAAGUAGCAGCUUUGGGCUUAGAUCCUGAUAAGCAUCUUGGGAAAACCCUGGAUGAAAUGGAGCCUUAUCUUUUUGAGGUACUGCUGGUCAAACUACCUAUAACAAUUGUUCUCCCUUCCUCAGAAGUCUUCAUUUACUCAACAAACAGCUUUCUAAGAAGUAUGGUGUCCAUGUAUGUGGGGAAGGUGGCGAAUAUGAAACAUUCACUUUGGAUUGCCCUCUAUUUAAGAAGAAAAUUGUUGUGGACUCCUCCGAAGUAGUCAUACACUCUGCUGAUGCAUUUGCACCUGUGGCUUAUCUACGACUUUCAGAGUUGCACCUGGAAGAAAAGGUGUCUGCAGUACCUGGGAAUGAUGAAACAAUUAAUUAUAUACACAAUUCUUGAAAUUUAUGCUGCAUUUUAAAAAUUAUGACCAACUUUCGUCAUUAAGUUUUUGUACUUCUUCAAAAAAUAUAAUGGGACCAUUGAUUAACUGAAAGAAUUUCAGUGAACUCUUCUCUUAAUAUUGCCAAUUUUCUAAACUUUCUUUCCUUUUAAAAAAAUAAUUUCUUUUAUUUUUUGAGAUUAUAAUAUAAUUACAUCAUCUCCCCCUCUUCCUCUAAGCCCUACACUAUAUCCCUCCUUUCUCACUUUGAAAUUUAUGGCCUUUUUUUUAAAUUACUGUUUUUACAUACCUCACUCUUUCUGUGUCUCUGUUUCUUUCUGUCUCUGCCCCUCUCUCUCUCUCUCU